RNAcentral lists this long non-coding RNA (800 nucleotides) under Helianthus annuus (common sunflower). RNAcentral's name for it is "hypothetical non coding rna". The record is from RNAcentral. Lineage: Eukaryota; Viridiplantae; Streptophyta; Magnoliopsida; Asterales; Asteraceae.
UCUGUGUUAUUGGUUUUAUCAGAAAUAUAGAAUAGUAAUAACCGUUAAAAUUUGAAGUUAUAAUACUUUCAGAUGCAAAUUCACGAAAUUAGGCGUGUUAUAAUUUGCAUGCAAUUUUUGGCUCAGUAAUGGUUUAAUGGGUUGUAUCAGGCGAUUUAACUGGUGUAUCGGCUGGUUAACUAGUUCAACCGUCCCUUUUGAACCGUUUUUUAAAACAUGGAAGUAUUGUCUAUCAAUGUUAUAUGUUUUACACGUUUGGUAGUUUAUUCCAAAUUGCCAAUAUCCCAUCGUCUUUCGACCAUACCUCUAGUUUAGAUAUAUGUAAUGUUUUAAAAUACGGUUUUAUACCGUACCGGAUUGGACUUAAAACGGUUUAAUUAGGUUUAUCAUGUGGUUCAACCGGAUGCACCCCUGCAGUUUAACUGGGUGUACUAGAUGGUUCAAUAUGUUAGAAUAUGUCAAUGUCAAUGUCAAUGUUUAACCUCUUAUUACAACCCCUUUCCUGAUUGUCACAAAUUUACAUUCGCCUGUCUAUUUCUAGGUAGCGAAACUCUCUUUUCAAUCAAUAAUUAUCACCGAUGAUUUACAAACCAUUGGGGCGAAAUAACGCAUAUUCGUAAAACCCAAAUGUAAAUCGUUGAAAAUCAAGCCGACUUCGUGAUCACAAUGGUUGAGCCGCCCUUUAUUGGGCGGAUCCUGUUGACGGAGAUGGCGUUGUCACAUCCUAUCGCCUUGGGGAGCAGAGUCUCUGCUAUGAGCUCUUGGGACUGGCCGUGAGAAAAACAUUUUUAAUGUUGUUU